This 200-nucleotide ribosomal RNA is filed under the name uncultured bacterium. Its description in RNAcentral is "partial 16S ribosomal RNA". It matches the Rfam family "Bacterial small subunit ribosomal RNA", at positions 132 to 334 of the family's 1533-position model. The record is from RNAcentral.
AGUUGUGGGGAGUAGCUCGGACGAAGCCGGAUUAAUACCGCAUGCGACCUAUGGGUGAAAGCGGGGGAUCGCAAGACCUCGCGCAGUUGGAGCGGCCGAUGUCAGAUUAGCUAGUUGGUAGGGUAAAAGCCUACCAAGGCGACGAUCUGUAGCUGGUCUGAGAGGACGACCAGCCACACUGGGACUGAGACACGGCCCAG